CCUGCUGCCAGAGCUGUCCCUGCACCUGCGUGGGGCUGCCUGGACCACGAGGCCCUGGUGGCACCCCCGGGGGCAAGGGGGUGACAGGCAGCCAGGGACGUGCUGGAGAUGAAGGAGAGCAUGGACACAGCGGGGAGCAGGGGCCACGAGGGCUCCUUGGCAGCCGAGGGGUGCAGGGCUGCCCAGGACAGUGUGGACCCAAGGGCUCCGUGGGUCACCCUGGGGAGCAGGUAG
Molecule: long non-coding RNA, 234 nt
Organism: Dryobates pubescens (Downy woodpecker)
Lineage: Eukaryota; Metazoa; Chordata; Aves; Piciformes; Picidae
Exons: 4
Source: RefSeq, a predicted model, not a curated record